RNAcentral lists this long non-coding RNA (686 nucleotides) under Setaria viridis. RNAcentral's name for it is "long non-coding RNA (SVIR_LNC005188)". The record is from RNAcentral. Lineage: Eukaryota; Viridiplantae; Streptophyta; Magnoliopsida; Poales; Poaceae.
UUGACAUGUCCGACAAAAACCAUGCUAGUCUUUUUAUUUUUGGUAUAAUAUCCACAGACUGCUUAAACUGAUUAUGCCCUUUUUCUCUUUGCAUUAUCAGAAGCGCGGCAUGGCUAAGAUCAAGCCAAAGGCGUUGUUGGCACAAAGCAAAGUGAAGAAGGGCCCUAGCCAAAUCAGCGUGACCACCAUCUUCACCUACUUGGUCCUUGGUGUCGUAGUUGUGUCCUCCGUUUAUGCUGCAUACAAAUACUGGGUAGGCAAAGGACCAGCCGUGACAGCAGCCGGCGUCGAGGGGAAUUAAACCCCAACUAUGUAACUGAUUUUGUUGUUGUAUCAUCCGCUUGGAUACUUUUGGUUGUUGCAGCCCAGUAAAUGGAACAUGGAUAGAUUACAUCUUGCUACAGUUUUAUUGUAAUCCGAGGGUACAUUGUAUUGAUAUAUGUAUGCUAAAUUCCUUUCUCUUCGGUAUGAAUGCCUAUACUGGAAGCCUGGAACUACCUCAAGUUUGAGGUGGUAUUCUUGCUGUUCUGGGAUUUCUUGUUAGUAGUUGAACCGUUGAAGACACUGGAAAGAUGCAGUAUAACAGUAUGUUUAUUAUGGCAGUUGAAGGAAUCGGGAAUAGUGCUGUGCACAAAUCCUGAAAGACUAUUGUGGUGCAAGAAAAAUAGAUUUCUGAGCUUAUCCUA